Molecule: non-coding RNA, 35 nt
Filed under: unclassified sequences
Description: DUF805b RNA
Rfam family: DUF805b RNA
About the family: Bacteroidetes, Chlorobi (1 example), Proteobacteria. Lineage (Flavobacteria)
Source: RNAcentral
ACGGCGGGUCCGAAAAGCCGAUGAUAGAGUAGGAA